Long non-coding RNA from Brassica napus (rape), 941 nucleotides. RefSeq lists it as uncharacterized. The record is from RefSeq and is a predicted model, not a curated record. The transcript has 9 exons. Lineage: Eukaryota; Viridiplantae; Streptophyta; Magnoliopsida; Brassicales; Brassicaceae.
UUGUAUCGAUUAUGUUGUAGAUUGUGGUGGGGAGAACUGGGACUGAGAUGCUUACCAAUGAAGCUGGUGAAGUCACUAGCCAUUUGCAAGGGAUGUUUAAUGGAACAGUCCGUCUUCUUGAAGCUGGAAUCAAGCCUGUGUAAAUCUAGCUAAACGGUACUCGAAGAGAGCAGAUGCAACUGCGGAUUUGACUGGUGCUAUUGAGGAUGUGACUACUGUGACAGCAUCCGAGGUAUUGGUGGGCAGACUGCGCUAAAGCUCAUUCGCCAGCAUGGUUCUAUUGAGACUAUACUCGAAAAUAUAAACAAAGAAAGGUAUCAAAUACCUGAGGAAUGGCCAUACAAUGAAGCUCGUAAACUUUUUAAAGAACCUGAUGUCUUAACUGAUGAAGAGCAGCUUGAUAUCAAGUGGACCUCUCCAGAUGAAGAGGGUAUAGUUCAGUUUUUGGUGAAUGAAAAUGGAUUCAACAUAGAUAGAGUAACCAAGGCUGUAGAGAAAAUCAAAUCUGCAAAGAACAAGUCCUCACAAGGACGGUUUGCACCUUUCAAACAAAUGAGUGGUGAACUUAGGUUGUAACUCUCCUUCCACUCAUUUCUCUAUGAAACAUUUCGCAGGCUGGAGUCUUUUUUCAAGCCAGUUGCUAACUAAGAGAAAGCAAACCCCAGAGAGUAACACUAAAGGAGCAGCAAUAAGAAAGCCAAGGGAGGUGGUGGUGGGAGGAAGAAGAAGUAAGUCACAGUCCAAGUUGUUAUCAAGCUGAAGGCUGUGUAAGUUAGUAGAUAAUUUACUGCAAAGAUCUGGGGAGUAGAUCACUCAACUGUGAUGAUUGUUCCUAAGUUUUAGCAGUCUAUUUGCUUUUUUGUUUUUUUCUCUGUUUCUGUAACCAUUGUAAAAGCACAUCUACAUGUUAAAUUAUAUAUUUUCAAUAAUAUUUUAAGCCU